AGAAAUUUAAGUUAACGCCAAACUAGGAGCCUUCAAAGCCCCAAAUAGGGAAUAAGCCCCCCUAAUUUCUG
RNAcentral lists this transfer RNA (71 nucleotides) under Pseudopus apodus (scheltopusik). RNAcentral's name for it is "tRNA-Trp". The record is from RNAcentral. Lineage: Eukaryota; Metazoa; Chordata; Lepidosauria; Squamata; Anguidae.